UGGGGAAUCUUCCGCAAUGGACGAAAGUCUGACGGAGCAACGCCGCGUGAGUGAUGACGGCCUUCGGGUUGUAAAGCUCUGUCUUCAGGGACGAUAAUGACGGUACCUGAGGAGGAAGCCACGGCUAACUACGUGCCAGCAGCCGCGGUAAUACGUAGGUGGCGAGCGUUGUCCGGAUUUACUGGGCGUAAAGGGAGCGUAGGCGGACUUUUAAGUGAGAUGUGAAAUACCCGGGCUCAACUUGGGUGCUGCAUUUCAAACUGGAAGUCUAGAGUGCAGGAGAGGAGAAUGGAAUUCCUAGUGUAGCGGUGAAAUGCGUAGAGAUUAGGAAGAACACCAGUGGCGAAGGCGAUUCUCUGGACUGUAACUGACGCUGAGGCUCGAAAGCGUGGGGAGCAAACAGG
RNAcentral lists this ribosomal RNA (404 nucleotides) under uncultured prokaryote. Its description in RNAcentral is "bacterial SSU rRNA". It matches the Rfam family "Bacterial small subunit ribosomal RNA", at positions 355 to 776 of the family's 1533-position model. The record is from RNAcentral. RNAcentral also lists the same sequence under 1 other name.